CAGCCGCCGCGGGAAUACAGAGGAUGCAAGCGUUAUCCGGAAUGAUUGGGCGUAAAGUGUCUGUAGGUGGCUUUUCAAGUCCGCCGUCAAAUCCCAGGGCUCAACCCUGGACAGGUGGUGGAAACUACCAAGCUGGAGUAUGGUAGGGACAGAGGGAAUUUCCGGUGGAGCGGUGAAAUGCAUUGAGAUCGGAAAGAACACCAACGGCGAAAGCACUCUGCUGGGCCGACAUUGACACUGAGAGACGAAAGGUAGGGGAGCAAAUGGGAUUAGAUACCCCUGUAGUCCCUGUCUCUUAUAC
This 301-nucleotide ribosomal RNA is filed under the name uncultured bacterium. RNAcentral describes it as "partial 16S ribosomal RNA". It matches the Rfam family "Bacterial small subunit ribosomal RNA", at positions 509 to 807 of the family's 1533-position model. The record is from RNAcentral.